Molecule: non-coding RNA, 4043 nt
Organism: Manis javanica (Malayan pangolin)
Lineage: Eukaryota; Metazoa; Chordata; Mammalia; Pholidota; Manidae
Source: RefSeq, a predicted model, not a curated record
CUGAAUUCCAUCCUGAUGUGCCAACUAAGACCCGGAUGUCAGCCUCCUCCCUCUUGGGAACUGUGUGUAGGUGGCAGAGGUCCAGGCCCCAGAUCUUUGCAUGCCAUCUCUCCAAAGUGCCUUCCCUUCCCCCUCGUGUCUCACACAGGACAGGCAGGUCCUGUCAUUCCUUCUUGGGAGAGCUCGUGCACUUCUGCGGUAUCAUUCCCUCCAGAAGUAACACAUUUGGAGGUCUACCUUGGGAGCUCCCCGCAGAGCUCCAAUGGAGGAUGGUCCUGGAGGACGUUAGCUUGCAGUCUGCAUGUGCCUGUUUCCAAGGUUAUCAGGAUUUCCUGCUCCGUGGAAGUCAUGUAGCCCAAGGAAAACCACCUUGCAGAAUUCAGGGAGGGGGUUCAGUUGCUGGUCCUCAGCAAGGCCACACAUCUUGACGAGGUUUCUCCAGCAAACUUAAACCAAGAUGUCAGUUUUCACCUCCACAUUCUGUCACACUUCCUCAAAAACAGGGUGAAACCUACAUGUGCACCCCUCCUCCUGGGGAUGCCUUACAAGCAUACAGGAAACUUCAGAGCGGGUGGCCUAUCGUGGUCCAUCUGCCCGGGGCUGACCAUGGGCAGAGCAACAGAGGCCUUUGGAUGUCCACUGGCAGGAAAGUCUUCCACCAGAUGGCCCAACUGUCACCGCGCACUUUGCAAGCCAGGAAUGAAUAUUCCCCAAGCGCCAACAGAAGGAAGUUCUUCAUAGAAACAGAGCCCGAGGGCGUGAAGGGAAAACAAGCCCUGUUCACACGCAGGCAGCGCAUCCGCUCGGCACAACCCGAGGAGGCGGAAGCGCGGCUACACCGCCGCAGAGAGAGCCUCCAGCGUGCAGCUGCAGCGCAGGGGAGAUGGAGCCGGGGCUCCUUCCCUGCCGGCUCCGCCCCGCUGGGCCAGCUCGGGGACCAGGGCUCAGGCCACCGCAUCGUGCUGUGUAGCACGCCCGGAGCCGGUGGCUGGCCUAAGCUUCUCCUCUUGCUGGGCACCCUUGUUCUGGCGACGUCAGGAAACCCCUCCCUGCUCUGGCAGGGCCAAGGAACCCUCAGCCUGGGCCCCCAAAUGCCCUCUCCCUAGAUGGCUGUGACUAUGUGACCUUGGGCAAGUUACUCCCCAUCUCAGUGCUUCUGCUUCCUUCUCUGAGAAAAAGGGUUAAUAACACACAUUCCUGACUGCUUGCAAGGAUUGAAGGAGAGAGGUGUAUAUUACUGGCUAUAGUCUUGGCUCAAUAAAUGAGAGGAGAUUUGAAGUUUGGAGAGUAGGAAAGAUGUUUUAAAAGGAAUUUCUCCUUUUCCUGAUCCGUGAGUUUGGCUUCUAUUCCUUGCUCCAUAUGCAGUGGCUGCAGGAAGACUCUCCAAUAGGAGGUCAUCAUACCGCACCCUCUGUGUAACCCCAUCCAGGGCUCUCACAAAGUAGCCAUCCUGCAGUUUACACCCUUAGAUCCAGCCAGGUCCAGACCUGGCAGUUCCAGGACAGCUGUGUUGCUUUGCUCAUCCAGCUCCCUCCCUCUUGGUGCCUCUGCAGAAAUUUUAGUGACACGGGUCACAGUACGGGCAUGAGGCCAGAGAGUCGGGAGCACCUGGCCCCUUGCAGGUCUACAUUGUUAUUCAGUCUGCCCCUUAAGCUCGAUGUUACCUCUUCCUUUACCUACCAGUCUCUCCUCUUGGAGGCAGCUCUUGGGGCAGGUGCCAAACCUUCAUUCUGCUUCUCUAGCAUCUAACACAGCACCGAGCACAUAGUAGAUCCCCAAUGAUGGUGGCCUGGGUGGUAUGGGUGAGCAGCACCUGGAAGAACUUCUUUCCACAAAUAACUAACAUCUCUAAAGUCUAAAGCUAUACUGUUGAUCAGUUCUUUGGACAUAAUAUGCAGUCUAACUUACAUAAUACGCAAAGCCCACCGUAAAUGAAAAUGUGGGCCCUUUGUUAAAAAGUUAGGAAUUUCAAGAUGGUCACAGCAGAACACUGAACUAAGCACAGAGCUCUUCUGGGCAGGGAACCCUCGUGAGCUCAGAUACCUGCACUACUGACAGGUCACAUACCCAUGAAGCACCCCUGCCUUUGGGUCUUGGAGGUUAGGCAUCCUGAAUGUCUCUUAUUAAAACAUUACCACUACCCCAACUCAACCACCCUUCCUGGGGCAAUGCUUGCAAUGUGGCCAUACUCAGCCAAAAAGCAACAUUUCCCUUGUUAGGAAAGAGCUUCUGAAAAUCCUGGAAUCAGUGAGCAAGGAUGUGGCCAUUCUUCCAGACAGAACAGACCAAAACAGUUCUGAUUGAAAACAAAAACAAGACCCUAAGUAAAUUCUCCUUUAGAGUGACUCACAAGCUUCUCAGCCCCCUGCCCUACCCUGCCCUCUGCCCUGCUAAUAAGGUCUCUCUUCAGUUCUGUGACUAUUUAUUAAGCAUUCUCUGCGUGCAGGCACUGCUAUAGGCCCCAGGGAUAAAACAGUGACCAGUGUCAAUAAAACCCCUGCCCUCCUAGGACUGGCAUUGUAGUGGGGAAAAUCGAACAUAAAUUUACAUAAAGAGACAGAUGUAUAGUAUAAUGUCAGGUGGUGCUGAGUGCUAACUGACAAUAAAUAUAUAAAUAAAUAAAUGCAGGUUAAGAGGACAGAGAGUAAGGUGGGUGUAAUGGUAGAUAAACUGGUCAGGGAAGGCCUCCCUGAGGAGGUGCCUUUUGAGUGGAGACCUGGAUAGGUGAAGGACAAGCCACAUGAAGGUCUGUGGGUUGGGUGUUCCAGGCUGAGGGAAUAGUAAGUGCAAAGGCCCUGAGGCAGGAAAGUGACAGGCAAGAGUAGCAAGGGGGCAGACGGGUAGUGUGGUAGGGGAUGAGAUGACAGAGGUCAUGGGAACCCAGAGCAUGCAGGAGCUUGCAGCUUCUUGAGGAGUUUGGAUUGGAUACCAAUUGGCCAGAGGGCAGUAACUCAUUAGUGUAAUUGAUAGCAGGCUGUCAUUUCCCAUCCCACAGGUGACUCCCAAACUACUUUUCCUGGCAUACUGAGCUUCGUAUUUCGGCAGAGCCUCUCAGAAGACAUGGCAAGAUAGCAGGGGACACAGGAAAUGAGAGGGGGCUGGGUUCUAGUCUCUCUUCUGUGGUUACUGCUUUGGGACUUGGGUACAAUGCUUAAACUCUCCAUCUGGACUCCUUUAUCACAUCCUGCUGUUUUGUUGGGAGGGCUAAGGAUGUAGAGAGCUGAGCAGUAAGCCUGGCACACAGUAGGCAUUCACAGGUAUUUGGUAAGCAUAAUAGCUACAGUUAGCCCUUCUACCUUUUCCAGAGGGUUCACUAUUGGUUUUAAUCACAGCAUUCCUUGAAUUCCAAUGCCUCCACCCUUUGGGGGAACAAUAGUGUUCUGUUAUGUGCAUUGUCUUCAAGUUUCCUUCCUGAGGGGAAAAAGGACAGGAGCUUGAUGUUUGUUCAAUACCAACCCCCUGCUUGCUAUCUACUGUUCAUGAGUCCAUACCACCCCUUGGCAAGCCCAGGAUGUGGGCACUGUUACCCCAUUUCAUGGGUAAAGAAGCUGAGGUUCAGAGGGGUUCAGGGAUGUAGUGUCACAGCUGGUCAGUGGCAGACUUGAGGUCAGCCUGGUGACAUUGGAAGCCAGCUGGCUGUUCCUUCCAUGGUUUUCCUGGGAAGGAAACCCAAGGGUCAAUGAUUAUGGACUCAGCUGGGCUCUGGGUCCAAUGCUGGGAUCUGAAUCUUGCCUAUGCUUCUCCCAUGGAAGUUACUGAGACCCCUGUCUAACUGCUCUGUGACUCAGAAUAAUAGCCCCCCUUACCCCAUAAGGUAAUUGUGAGAAAGAAAUGGUAAGUCCCUGCCUGGAAUACAAUCAUUGCUCAAAUAAUAUUACCUACCAUAUUAUUGGAAAGCUGUAACCCAGUAUUUCAGAAAGUAAUGCUUUCUGAAACAGACCUUCCAGGCAUACCUUCUCUUUUUUUUCCCUCCUUUUUCUUCCUCCUCCAUUCUUUGUAUGUCAUGAAUCAUAUUCUGUGCUCUUUGUCUAUCCCUUGGGUGA